RNAcentral lists this ribosomal RNA (253 nucleotides) under uncultured bacterium. RNAcentral describes it as "partial 16S ribosomal RNA". It matches the Rfam family "Bacterial small subunit ribosomal RNA", at positions 524 to 776 of the family's 1533-position model. The record is from RNAcentral.
UACGAAGGGGGCUAGCGCUGUUCGGAAUCACUGGGCGUAAAGCGCACGCAGGCGGAUCGAUAAGUCGGGGGUGAAAGCCCGGGGCUCAACCUCGGAAUUGCCUUCGAUACUGUCGGUCUCGAGUCCGGGAGAGGUGAGUGGAAUUCCUAGUGUAGAGGUGAAAUUCGUAGAUAUUAGGAAGAACACCAGUGGCGAAGGCGGCUCAGUCGCCCGGUACUGACGCUCAGGUGCGAAAGCGUGGGGAGCAAACAGG